UUAACGGAGAGUUUGAUCCUGGCUCAGGACGAACGCUGGCGGCGUGCCUAAUACAUGCAAGUCGAGCGGACAGAAGGGAGCUUGCUCCCGGACGUUAGCGGCGGACGGGUGAGUAACACGUGGGCAACCUGCCCCUUAGACUGGGAUAACUCCGGGAAACCGGAGCUAAUACCGGAUAAUCCCUUUCUCCACCUGGAGAGAGGGUGAAAGAUGGCUUCGGCUAUCACUAGGGGAUGGGCCCGCGGCGCAUUAGCUAGUUGGUAAGGUAACGGCUUACCAAGGCGACGAUGCGUAGCCGACCUGAGAGGGUGAUCGGCCACACUGGGACUGAGACACGGCCCAGACUCCUACGGGAGGCAGC
Molecule: ribosomal RNA, 361 nt
Filed under: Shouchella clausii
Lineage: Bacteria; Bacillati; Bacillota; Bacilli; Caryophanales; Bacillaceae
Description: bacterial SSU rRNA
Rfam family: Bacterial small subunit ribosomal RNA
Source: RNAcentral